RNAcentral lists this ribosomal RNA (492 nucleotides) under uncultured bacterium. RNAcentral's name for it is "partial 16S ribosomal RNA". It matches the Rfam family "Bacterial small subunit ribosomal RNA", at positions 29 to 507 of the family's 1533-position model. The record is from RNAcentral.
AGUGAACGCUGGCGGUAGGCCUAACACAUGCAAGUCGAACGGCAGCACAGUAAGAGCUUGCUCUUACGGGUGGCGAGUGGCGGACGGGUGAGGAAUACAUCGGAAUCUACUUUUUCGUGGGGGAUAACGUAGGGAAACUUACGCUAAUACCGCAUACGACCUACGGGUGAAAGCAGGGGAUCUUCGGACCUUGCGCGAUUGAAUGAGCCGAUGUCGGAUUAGCUAGUUGGCGGGGUAAAGGCCCACCAAGGUGACGAUCCGUAGCUGGUCUGAGAGGAUGAUCAGCCACACUGGAACUGAGACACGGUCCAGACUCCUACGGGAGGCAGCAGUGGGGAAUAUCGGACAAUGGGCGCAAGCCUGAUCCAGCCAUACCGCGUGGGUGAAGAAGGCCUUCGGGUUGUAAAGCCCUUUUGUUGGGAAAGAAAAGCAGCAGGUUAAUACCCCGCUGUUCUGACGGUACCCAAAGAAUAAGCACCGGCUAACUUCGUG